GUGGGGAAUAUUGCACAAUGGGCGAAAGCCUGAUGCAGCAACGCCGCGUGAGCGAUGAAGGCCUUUGGGUCGUAAAGCUCUGUCCUUGGGGAAGAAACAAAUGACGGUACCCUUGGAGGAAGCCCCGGCUAACUACGUGCCAGCAGCCGCGGUAAUACGUAGGGGGCGAGCGUUAUCCGGAAUUAUUGGGCGUAAAGAGUGCGUAGGUGGUUUGAUAAGCGUGGGGUGAAAGGCAAUAGCUUAACUAUUGUAAGCCUUGCGAACUGUCAGACUUGAGUGCAGGAGAGGAAAGUGGAAUUCCUAGUGUAGCGGUGAAAUGCGUAGAUAUUAGGAGGAACACCAGUGGCGAAGGCGACUUUCUGGACUGUAACUGACACUGAGGCACGAAAGCGUGGGGAGCAAACAGGAUUAGAAACCCCAGUAGUCC
RNAcentral lists this ribosomal RNA (427 nucleotides) under uncultured bacterium. RNAcentral's name for it is "partial 16S ribosomal RNA". It matches the Rfam family "Bacterial small subunit ribosomal RNA", at positions 354 to 796 of the family's 1533-position model. The record is from RNAcentral.